RNAcentral lists this ribosomal RNA (20 nucleotides) under Trypanosoma theileri. RNAcentral's name for it is "partial 18S ribosomal RNA". The record is from RNAcentral. Lineage: Eukaryota; Euglenozoa; Kinetoplastea; Trypanosomatida; Trypanosomatidae.
UGCAGCAGUUGGAUCAUUUU